RNAcentral lists this ribosomal RNA (510 nucleotides) under uncultured bacterium. Its description in RNAcentral is "partial 16S ribosomal RNA". It matches the Rfam family "Bacterial small subunit ribosomal RNA", at positions 28 to 507 of the family's 1533-position model. The record is from RNAcentral.
GACGAACGCUGGCGGCGUGCUUAACACAUGCAAGUCGAACGAAGAGCGAUGGAAGCUUGCUUCUACCAAUCUUAGUGGCGGACGGGUGAGUAACGCGUAAUCAACCUGCCCUUCAGAGGGGGACAACAGUUGGAAACGACUGCUAAUACCGCAUACGAUCUAAUCUCGGCAUCGAGGGUAGAUGAAAGGUGGCCUCUACAUGUAAGCUAUCACUGAAGGAGGGGAGUGCGUCUGAUUAGCUAGUUGGAGGGGUAACGGCCCACCAAGGCGAUGAUCAGUAGCCGGUCGGAGAGGAUGAACGGCCACAUUGGGACUGAGACACGGCCCAGACUCCUACGGGAGGCAGCAGUGGGGAAUCUUCCGCAAUGGACGAAAGUCUGACGGAGCAACGCCGCGUGCGUGAUGACGGCCUUCGGGUUGUAAAGCUCUGUUAAUCGGGACGAAAGGCCUUCUUGCGAAUAGUGAGAAGGAUUGACGGUACCGGAAUAGAAAGCCACGGCUAACUACGUG